This 497-nucleotide ribosomal RNA is filed under the name uncultured bacterium. RNAcentral's name for it is "partial 16S ribosomal RNA". It matches the Rfam family "Bacterial small subunit ribosomal RNA", at positions 28 to 507 of the family's 1533-position model. The record is from RNAcentral.
GAUGAACGCUGGCGGCGUGCCUAAUACAUGCCAGUCGAGCGAACAGACGAGGAGCUUGCUCCUCUGACGUUAGCGGCGGACGGGUGAGUAACACGUGGAUAACCUACCUAUAAGACUGGGAUAACUUCGGGAAACCGGAGCUAAUACCGGAUAACAUCUUGAAACACAUGGUUCAACAGUGAAAGACGGUCUUGCUGUCACUUAUAGAUGUCUCCCCUCCGCAUUGGCUGGUUGGUAAGGUAACGGCUUCCCAGGGCAAGGAUCAGUACCCACCCUGGAGGGUGGAUGGGCCACAUUGGAACGGGAAAACGGUCCAGACUCCUAGGGGAGGCAGCAGUAGGGAAUCUUCGGCAAUGGGCGAAAGCCUGACGGAGCAACGCCGCGUGAGUGAAGAAGGUCUUCGGAUCGUAAAACCCUGUUAUUAGGGAAGAACAAAUGUGGAAGUAACUAUGCACGUCGUGACGGUACCUAAUCAGAAAGCCACGGCUAACUACGUG